Molecule: ribosomal RNA, 472 nt
Filed under: uncultured bacterium
Lineage: Bacteria
Description: bacterial SSU rRNA
Rfam family: Bacterial small subunit ribosomal RNA
Source: RNAcentral
ACUCCUACGGGAGGCAGCAGUGGGGAAUAUUGCACAAUGGGCGCAAGCCUGAUGCAGCCAUGCCGCGUGUAUGAAGAAGGCCUUCGGGUUGUAAAGUACUUUCAGCAGUGAGGAAGGUGGGUAUGUUAAUAGCAUAUUCAUUUGACGUUAGCUGCAGAAGAAGCACCGGCUAACUCCGUGCCAGCAGCCGCGGUAAUACGGAGGGUGCGAGCGUUAAUCGGAAUUACUGGGCGUAAAAGCGCAUGCAGGUGGUUUGUUAAGUCAGAUGUGAAAGCCCGGGGCUCAACCUCGGAAUUGCAUUUGAAACUGGCAAACUAGAGUACUGUAGAGGGGGGUAGAAUUUCAGGUGUAGCGGUGAAAUGCGUAGAGAUCUGAAGGAAUACCGGUGGCGAAGGCGGCCCCCUGGACAGAUACUGACACUCAGAUGCGAAAGCGUGGGGAGCAAACAGGAUUAGAUACCCUGGUAGCGUAG